UUUAUGGAGAGUUUGAUCCUGGCUCAGGAUGAACGCUGGCGGCGUGCCUAAUACAUGCAAGUCGAGCGAACAGACGAGGAGCUUG
Molecule: ribosomal RNA, 85 nt
Filed under: Staphylococcus epidermidis
Lineage: Bacteria; Bacillati; Bacillota; Bacilli; Caryophanales; Staphylococcaceae
Also listed under: 5 other names
Description: partial 16S ribosomal RNA
Rfam family: Bacterial small subunit ribosomal RNA
Source: RNAcentral